This 449-nucleotide ribosomal RNA is filed under the name uncultured bacterium. RNAcentral describes it as "partial 16S ribosomal RNA". It matches the Rfam family "Bacterial small subunit ribosomal RNA", at positions 329 to 795 of the family's 1533-position model. The record is from RNAcentral.
GACCAGACUCCUACGGGAGGCAGCAGUGGGGAAUAUUGCACAAUGGGGGGAACCCUGAUGCAGCGACGCCGCGUGAGCGAAGAAGUACCUCGGUAUGUAAAGCUCUAUCAGCAGGGAAGAAGAUGACGGUACCUGACCAAGAAGCUCCGGCUAAAUACGUGCCAGCAGCCGCGGUAAUACGUAUGGAGCAAGCGUUAUCCGGAUUUACUGGGUGUAAAGGGCGCGUAGGCGGGAUGGCAAGUCAGAUGUGAAAUCCAAGGGCUCAACCCUUGAACUGCAUUUGAAACUGUCGUUCUUGAGUACUGGAGAGGUUGACGGAAUUCCUAGUGUAGCGGUGAAAUGCGUAGAUAUUAGGAGGAACACCAGUGGCGAAGGCGGUCAACUGGACAGCAACUGACGCUGAGGCGCGAAAGCGUGGGGAGCAAACAGGAUUAGAUACCCCAGUAAUC